This 3674-nucleotide long non-coding RNA is filed under the name Equus asinus (donkey). Its description in RNAcentral is "lncRNA (ENSEASG00005028832.1)". Lineage: Eukaryota; Metazoa; Chordata; Mammalia; Perissodactyla; Equidae. The record is from RNAcentral.
GUUCACUGAGUCCACUGGAUUAGCAAAGCAGGACAACGCCUUCUGUACCACCAUCUAUGCCAUCUAGUUAGGAGGCAGAAUCUCAGGACUAAUUGCUUCAUUUCUUCAUUUGGCCUUGAAAAAACAUUUCGUUAUUUGUUGUUGCCUGCUAUGUGGAAGGGACCAAGAAUAUCCUCUAAAACAGAAUCUGUUUUGUUUGGUGCUAUGGACACCCUAGGGAGGAAAAAAUUUUUUUGAAAGAGGAGCUGUCAUUUCCAACUUAUCUUUAUUACUCACCUCAAUGCUCGAGGAUCUCUCCACUCAUUCAUGAAGCGUAAUAAGGAGGACACGAAAGCUGGAGCUGGGGGAUGUCUGGCUAUUUUAUAUAAGAUGGCUGAGGAAGGCAGCACAGGUAUUCAAGCCAAGACCUGAGGGACACGAGCAAGCAAGCCACACAGACGUGUGCAAGAAAGGGGAUUGCAGCAAACGUGAAGAGGAAGCUGCAGCGUGGUUUGUAAAUCGUGAAAGAUCAAGGAAGCUGUGAGGACACAAUGAGAAGAUGGCCAUCUGCAAGCCAGGAAGAGAGCCCUCCCUGAGGAACUGAAUGGGCCAGCACCUUGGGCUUGGACUUCCAGUCUCCUGAACUGUGAGAAAGUCAACUUCUGUGUUUUACGCACCCAGUCUGGUAUUCUGUCAUGGCCGCCUGAGCAGACUAGCACAGUGGGUCAUGAUAUCAAUUUAGCAGUUCACGAUCAGCGUUUAAAAAAGGAAGAAUAGACUUUAAAAUGUCAGAAUGCGUUGCAUAUCAUAGGGGUAACAUUUCAUGAAGUUUUUUGUUUGCAUGUGUGUCCUGGAUCGUGUUGUAAAAUGUAUUUCUUCUGAGGGUCCUGGUCUAAGGGUUAAAAACUACCUGCUUUAAACACCAAACAAAGGUGACUUUUGGCAACUAAGCUGAUGCACAGUGCUAACGCCUAAAAGCUUCAGCCCAGCAUCCUACAGCAGCGGGCAGGCGUGCACGGGGCUUGUGUGAGACCUGUGUUCAGCCGCCACACCAUGGGCCAGAAAAGCAAAAGCUUUAGAUUGUUCCGGACCUCCAGUCCCCUCUCUGCCUGGCGAUGGGAAAUAGGACUGACUCCUUUGACCUGAGCUAGUUACCCAUCUGCACUAGAAUUCUGGACAAUUUGAGGAGGAGAGAGAAGUCUCAAGAGGCUUCUUGCUCAGUGAGGCCAUGACAAAAACGAUAUAAUAAUAUCUACACCCCCAACUAGUUCUAAAAGUUAUGUUAGUUUAAAAGGUUUUCUUAAAGAUCUUGGAAAGGAGAAACCAGCAUCCUCAAAACUGUGUCAGAGACACAUUGUUUCUCAGUAAAAUUCCUUCCAAAGUGGAGGGGGCCAGGGGGCAGUGAGGAAGUGUACACUUAAGAAACCCAGAAAGCUUACAGGCAGAAAUAGAUGAAUGACUCAGGGACUCGACCUCAGGGGGGGUUUCUGUGAUACGACAUGUAUGUGACACCUGCUGUUCUUAAUAACCUUCAGUUCUCUGAACUCUGCACUGGGACAAAGAGUAAAUAUGCCCACAAGCUUUUGUACUGGCAAGCCCAAAGAAGGAAGCUCUUGUUUCAGCGGAGCCAAAUUCCCCCUUUUCCAACAUGCCUCAGAUAAUAGUGCCAGUCCUGGUUGCGACAGCUUAGGUUUUUGUCCCAAAAUAGCUAUUAAGAAGACUGAUAUUAAAUGGAAUAAUUGGGGAAAACGUUGCCUCAAUUAGCUUUUCAGAAACUGUAGAGGGAAAGAGAGCAGAGGCAGCUUUGUUUGCGUAGAUUCAAAUUCCCCUCAUGUUUAAGUAUCGUCUGCCAUAGGUUCCCUAAAGAGAUGCAUAAAUCUUGUGAGACGAGACACUGCAUGAAAAAUCUCUCUUCCAGAUAAUGGUUAUGGUGGUUCUAAAACAUGACUUCAAAUUCUUUGGGACUCCUCCCAUCAAAAGUGGGGUGCUUGUGAAGAUAUUUCCAAGGACGUAGUUCCCUGGAAGGAAGAAGUUCUGCGCUCCAGUGGGACCUCAUCAGAUACCCCUCCAUCUCUCCAUCUCCGGCUCUCCAGGAUAUUCUUCACAGCCUCCUCCUGCUGUUGUCCCUCUGUCUCUCUACAUCUUGGGAUAAUGGAAAGAUGGCUUCAGAUCAGGCCUCCAUUGUGCAACUGGCCCAUCCAGAAACUCAAGAAACUUCCCUGUGCCCAAAGUGGAGGUGGGCCUGCUCUACACCCUGUGUCAUCUCUCACCAGUUACUUUAGCCUGCUCAAAAUGUCCAAUGAGCAGAACAGCAAAAGCACAGAGCAGUCAGGCACAGAAAGGGAGUCCCUCUUUCUCCCAGGUAACCAGUCUUGCGAGCCCUUCUCACCUGGCUAGGAGGAAGGAAGAACAUCCCCUUCCCAUGUCCUACAGGAAGGAGUACCUUUCCACCUGGAAAUUCAAUCCCAAAGUCUCCAAUUCCACUAACUCCUUUUAUAUCAGCUGACAGUAGGCAAAUGAUCAUGAGAUGAUUGGAGGAGCAAAACUGGUGCUCUUCCCUCUGAGAUGUCUCUGGUAGCUCUUUAGUUUCUGUGUAGUAUUUACUUCUUACUGUCUAUCAUUCAAAAACAAUGGAAAAAGUUCUGUGUAACAUUCUGCUAAUUGCAUAUGCCUCAGUUACUCUCUGUACUGGUCUAGUUAUCUGCCUCUUUUUCCAGACUGUGACCUCUUGAAGGCAGGCAUUGUGUCUUACCAUCUAACAUCUAGCAUAUCAAUAAGUAUUUCCGUGAACAGACACAAUUUAAGACAGGGAUUUCAUUUACCUUGAAAUCUUUACUGCCAGCUUUCAUUUUAUCAGAGUUUUUGUGAUACAGGUUCUAAGAAGAACUAAUUACAUAGGUAUUUCUGAACUUGUUGAAAAGCUGAAUCGGGAGAAGUGUGUCCUUACAAAAAUCAAAGGCUGGCUGGGUGGCAAUGAUAGAAUCAGAGAGGGUAGCCUCAUCUGGCCUCUUCCAAAAUAGGGUGCCAGGUGGCUGGAAGAAAAGAGGGUCUGCCUCCCUGAGCCUGUAGGAAAGAGAUCAUUUCCUAAUGGGUAGGUCUCCUUUGGUCACUGUGAAACGGGCUCAGUCAACCUCAGAGUGAGCAGAGAUGAAUCUACUUGCCUGUGGGACUUGGGUGUAAGUGGUCCUGCAGCGAGUACAUAUGUCAUCCACAUGGCUUGGAACAGCCAGAAGUAGAUUAGGAAAGUACAAAGCAGCUGGGGUCCUUGUACAGGCAGGCUCAAAAAGGGCUCAGGCGCUCAGCCCUCAUGAAAGUGCCAACUGGUACGUAUUUCUAGAGAAGAAUUUGACAACUGUUACCAAGAACGUAAAAACAUACACUUUAGAUCCAGCAAUACCACUUCUAGGAAUCGUUUCCAAAAAAGAUCAUCAGGAGUGGAACCCACAUGUGCUCAAAGGAUGCUUAUCUAAGUGUAUUAAUUAAAUUACUAUAUUAAUUAGUACAAGGGGAUAUUAUGUAGUUGGAAGUCACACUGUAGCUAAUAAAACAUGGGAAUGUUCAUGAUACAUUAAGUGAAAAAAGCCAGCACAAAAUGGCACUGUGGUGUGAUCUGCUUGUAGGGAUAGGCAGAAGAAGAUAGCAAAAAUAUUACCAGUGGUUGUCUCUACAGACCAGAGAGAUUAUGGGUGGUUUUA